AAAAGCCAAAAAAAAUCAAAAACUUAACUUUCUUGUCACAUACACAGGACCGAAGAAAACUCCAUUUGCUUUUAUUUUAGCAGCUACAAUUACGCUGUAUUGGACAUGAUUCUUUCUGUUGCAUUGUGAUUGCCGAGCCCUUUUCGAAAGUAUUUUGUUGCAUACUCGAUCCCGAUUGUAUAUUUUUAGAUGUGGUGGCAGUGGGUCACACACGUGCAAGGGUCAGAUCGAGAGUCUGCAGGUAGAAACACCAGAAACGCCUAAAAAGAAGAUAAAAGAGGAAUUAAUGAAACGGACCCUAAAAUGACCCAAAACGAAUGCAGUCGGGGUAAGGAAGGGAUAACUGCCAUCACUUGAAUGCCUUGAAGAGCAAUUGCCACUGAGAUGCCUUGAUGAUGUUGCAAGAUAAGGGACAUAGGAAAUCAACAAGCAAUCCAACGUGGGCGACGCCCCUGAAACUCAAACAGAAACGAGAAGCAAGUUUGUGCAUGUCAUUUCUAUAGAGUUUAGCAAGGGCAGUCACGUUCAAACCCAUACAAACUGUAGCUCUAUUCAAGCAUGCGUGGGUGCGACAUUUCCAGUACUCGGUAUACAAAUGGAAACCGUUAAAAAUACAAUUCAAAAUAAAAACAACUACAUUUUUAAGGAUUCCAAGCAAACACCCUACAAA
Drosophila albomicans is the source of this 670-nucleotide long non-coding RNA. RefSeq lists it as uncharacterized. The record is from RefSeq and is a predicted model, not a curated record. NCBI's taxonomy places the organism in Eukaryota, Metazoa, Arthropoda, Insecta, Diptera, Drosophilidae. The transcript has 3 exons.